CCUGCUGGUUCAGACAUCUCAGUUUAUUAGUUUUUAAACAAGGUUUGGAGCGGUUCUGUAAUUUUCUCUGAAGCAAAAAUGUGGACUGUACCUCUCCUGGGUUGUUUUUUGAUGUUCCUCUUUUGUGGUGGCAGCAAUGCCCGCACUGCAGGUCGAGAGUUUGCCACGGCAUUCAUGCAAAACUACAUUGCCUACUAUGGCAGCCCUGUCUUCCAGCUUCAGAUCACCUCCGUUCACUCCAACUGUAGCUUGACGGUAAGCGUGCCCAACCUCCGCUUCUUCCAAAAGGAGCAGCUGACCGCAGGCCAGGGUGU
This is a long non-coding RNA of Colossoma macropomum (tambaqui), 314 nucleotides long. RefSeq lists it as uncharacterized. NCBI's taxonomy places the organism in Eukaryota, Metazoa, Chordata, Actinopteri, Characiformes, Serrasalmidae. The record is from RefSeq and is a predicted model, not a curated record. The transcript is spliced from 3 exons.